This 212-nucleotide ribosomal RNA is filed under the name Clostridioides sp. ZZV14-6104. Its description in RNAcentral is "partial 23S ribosomal RNA". It matches the Rfam family "Bacterial large subunit ribosomal RNA", at positions 2497 to 2708 of the family's 2925-position model. The record is from RNAcentral. Lineage: Bacteria; Bacillati; Bacillota; Clostridia; Peptostreptococcales; Peptostreptococcaceae.
AGUCCACAUCGUCGGGGAAGUUUGGCACCUCGAUGUCGGCCCAUCACAUCCUGGGCAUGGAGUAAGUCCCAAGGGUUGGGCACUUCGCCCACUAAAGUGGUACGCCAGCUGCGUAUAGAACGUCGUGGGACAGUUCGGUCCCUAUCCGUCGCAGGCGUAGGAAAUUCGUGGCGACCUGUCCUUAGUACGAGAGGACCGGGACGGACGUACCU